Molecule: ribosomal RNA, 948 nt
Filed under: Phoma haematocycla
Lineage: Eukaryota; Fungi; Ascomycota; Dothideomycetes; Pleosporales; Didymellaceae
Description: SSU rRNA
Rfam family: Eukaryotic small subunit ribosomal RNA
Source: RNAcentral
GAUAGUACCUUACUACUUGGAUAACCGUGGUAAUUCUAGAGCUAAUACAUGCUGAAAACCCCAACUUCGGAAGGGGUGUAUUUAUUAGAUAAAAAACCAACGCCCUUCGGGGCUUCUUGGUGAUUCAUGAUAACUUAACGGAUCGCAUGGCCUUGCGCCGGCGACGGUUCAUUCAAAUUUCUGCCCUAUCAACUUUCGAUGGUAAGGUAUUGGCUUACCAUGGUUUCAACGGGUAACGGGGAAUUAGGGUUCGAUUCCGGAGAGGGAGCCUGAGAAACGGCUACCACAUCCAAGGAAGGCAGCAGGCGCGCAAAUUACCCAAUCCCGACACGGGGAGGUAGUGACAAUAAAUACUGAUACAGGGCUCUUUUGGGUCUUGUAAUUGGAAUGAGUACAAUUUAAACCUCUUAACGAGGAACAAUUGGAGGGCAAGUCUGGUGCCAGCAGCCGCGGUAAUUCCAGCUCCAAUAGCGUAUAUUAAAGUUGUUGCAGUUAAAAAGCUCGUAGUUGAACCUUGGGUCUGGCUGGCAGGUCCGCCUCACCGCGUGUACUUGUCCGGCCGGGCCUUCCUUCUGGAGAACCUCAUGCCCUUCACUGGGCGUGUUGGGGACCAGGACUUUUACUUUGAAAAAAUUAGAGUGUUCAAAGCAGGCCUUUGCUCGAAUACGUUAGCAUGGAAUAAUAAAAUAGGACGUGCGGUCCUAUUUUGUUGGUUUCUAGGACCGCCGUAAUGAUUAAUAGGGACAGUCGGGGGCAUCAGUAUUCAAUUGUCAGAGGUGAAAUUCUUGGAUUUAUUGAAGACUAACUACUGCGAAAGCAUUUGCCAAGGAUGUUUUCAUUAAUCAGUGAACGAAAGUUAGGGGAUCGAAGACGAUCAGAUACCGUCGUAGUCUUAACCGUAAACUAUGCCGACUAGGGAUCGGGCGAUGUUCUUUUUCUGACUCGCUC